UACGUAGGGUGCGAGCGUUGUCCGGAAUUACUGGGCGUAAAGAGCUCGUAGGUGAUUUGUCGCGUUGUUCGUGAAAACCGGGGGCUUAACCCUCGGCGUGCGGGCGAUACGGGCAGACUUGAGUACUGCAGGGGAGACUGGAAUUCCUGGUGUAGCGGUGGAAUGCGCAGAUAUCAGGAGGAACACCGGUGGCGAAGGCGGGUCUCUGGGCAGUAACUGACGCUGAGGAGCGAAAGCGUGGGGAGCGAACAGG
RNAcentral lists this ribosomal RNA (253 nucleotides) under uncultured bacterium. RNAcentral describes it as "partial 16S ribosomal RNA". It matches the Rfam family "Bacterial small subunit ribosomal RNA", at positions 524 to 776 of the family's 1533-position model. The record is from RNAcentral.